Molecule: long non-coding RNA, 612 nt
Organism: Gallus gallus (chicken)
Lineage: Eukaryota; Metazoa; Chordata; Aves; Galliformes; Phasianidae
Source: Ensembl
UUUAAAUACAAUAGCAGGAAUGCUCCAUUUUACAGGGCUGAGGUCAGAGGAAGGGCUGUGGGGCCAAAAGACAAGGUAUAUAAGUAAGCCCUUCAUAAACUUCUCUAUUACCUUUCACAAAAGCAGGACUUUACAGCUCUUACAAAGCACAGCGGUGAUGUUUAUUUCUUAAAAAUUCAAUUUGUCUUCUUCAUCAGGAACUGCUGACCCAUCUCACCGCCAAAGGAUUAUGCUAGAAGAAGAAUUAGGAAUACCUGAAGUACUGGAGAGAGGCUGCCACGAGGCUGAGUUCCCAUGAGGCAGCUCUAGCAGGGGGAUGUGUUCCUGCACCGCUUCACUGGCCCUGAGGUCUGCAGGCUGCACCACCCUGAGGUCCUUCGUUGUGAGACUGACAGUGCAUGUAUGGAAUGCAAGCUCUUCAUUCAUCUCCACUUCCCAGAUGUUACAAUUUAAUCAGUGCUUGGCAGCAGUUCUUGUAAGUGACCCCUUCUCCGAGCUCUGUGUCAGCUGAAAACGUUAUCACUGGAGGUUUUAUUCGGGGGCACGGUUCAAAACAAAACAGCCCAACACAAUGCUAAACAGAAGACAACACCCAGUCCCUGCAGAAUGCCU